GCUUUCUUAGUAUAAUUAGUACUGCUGACUUCCAAUCACCAGGUUCCAUCAACACAAUGGAAGAGAGCA
Molecule: transfer RNA, 69 nt
Filed under: Spalacopus cyanus (coruro)
Lineage: Eukaryota; Metazoa; Chordata; Mammalia; Rodentia; Octodontidae
Description: tRNA-Gly
Source: RNAcentral